CUAGAGCGAAACUGGCUCAAGAACUCACAACCUAUCGAUUGUCACGUACUGCGCAGACGGAGGGUCUGUAGCUCAGUCGGUUAGAGCAUCGUCUUGAUAAGGCGGGGGUCGUUGGUUCGAUUCCAACCAGACCCACCAGGACAUCGGGGGAUUAGCUCAGCUGGGAGAGCACCUGCUUUGCAAGCAGGGGGUCGUCGGUUCGAUCCCGUCAUCCUCCACCACCGACCCAUAAGCGGUUAGGUUUGACGAGUCAAAGACUCAUUAAACCUAACUCCUGAUGGAGUUUAGGUUUGUACGCUCUUUAACAAAAUGGAAGAAGGUUGUAUCGCUGGUAGCCGACAAGCUAAAAACCAGCGAUACGGUUGUGAUUGCAUCGACCUCUUGCGGAGAGCAAGGGGUCGCACAAAUGAGUUGCCUGUAACGUACAGAUCUCGCAAGAGAGCUUAAAGUUAUAG
Molecule: transfer RNA, 455 nt
Filed under: uncultured bacterium
Lineage: Bacteria
Description: 16S-23S intergenic spacer
Rfam family: tRNA (bases 62-135)
Source: RNAcentral